This 207-nucleotide ribosomal RNA is filed under the name uncultured bacterium. RNAcentral's name for it is "partial 16S ribosomal RNA". It matches the Rfam family "Bacterial small subunit ribosomal RNA", at positions 568 to 774 of the family's 1533-position model. The record is from RNAcentral.
AGCGUAGGCGGCUUGGUAAGUUGGAUGUGAAAUACCCGGGCUUAACUUGGGGGGUGCAUCCAAUACUGCCGAGCUAGAGUACAGGAGAGGAAAGCGGAAUUCCUAGUGUAGCGGUGAAAUGCAUAGAUAUUAGGAGGAACAUCGGUGGCGAAGGCGGCUUUCUGGACUGACACUGACGCUGAGGCUCGAAAGCGUGGGGAGCAAACA